RNAcentral lists this transfer RNA (91 nucleotides) under Penicillium decumbens. It matches the Rfam family "tRNA". From Rfam's summary of the family: Transfer RNA (tRNA) molecules are approximately 80 nucleotides in length. Lineage: Eukaryota; Fungi; Ascomycota; Eurotiomycetes; Eurotiales; Aspergillaceae. The record is from Rfam by way of RNAcentral.
ACCCUCGUAGCUCAGUCGGUAGAGCUUUCGACUUUUAUCCACAUACCAUCACGGUAUCGAACGGUCGCGGGUUCGAGCCCCGCCGAGGGUG